AAAUUCCUGAAAUGUGCGACACUCUUGCUAUUUUGAACCUACAUUUUUUCUUUGGGAAUCCCAAUUGCUGUCGGGAUGCCGUGCCUCCUUCGAGUGGAAGGCAGAACGGCCGCUGCGGAAGCCCACCUGGCGUAAGCUAGGCGUCAAAAUGCAGGACCGGCAUUUCGGGGUUCCU
Molecule: non-coding RNA, 175 nt
Filed under: Lachnospiraceae bacterium
Lineage: Bacteria; Bacillati; Bacillota; Clostridia; Lachnospirales; Lachnospiraceae
Description: 6S RNA
Rfam family: 6S / SsrS RNA
About the family: E. coli 6S RNA was the first non coding RNA to be sequenced, but its function was unknown until recently. It consists of 184 nucleotides that fold into an extended hairpin structure with a large single-stranded internal bulge.
Source: RNAcentral